Molecule: ribosomal RNA, 420 nt
Filed under: uncultured Actinomycetaceae bacterium
Lineage: Bacteria; Bacillati; Actinomycetota; Actinomycetes; Actinomycetales; Actinomycetaceae
Description: bacterial SSU rRNA
Rfam family: Bacterial small subunit ribosomal RNA
Source: RNAcentral
GGGGGAUAUUGCACAAUGGACGGAAGUCUGAUGCAGCGACGCCGCGUGGGGGAUGAAGGCUUUCGGGUUGUAAACCUCUUUUAUUCCUGAACAAGGCUUGGAUUGUUGUCUGGGUUGAGGGUAGGGGGUGAAUAAGCGCCGGCUAACUACGUGCCAGCAGCCGCGGUAAUACGUAGGGCGCGAGCGUUGUCCGGAUUUAUUGGGCGUAAAGAGCUCGUAGGCGGUUUGUUGCGUCUGCUGUGAAAACGCGGGGCUUAACUUCGCGCGUGCAGUGGGUACGGGCAGGCUAGAGUGCGGUAGGGGAGAUUGGAAUUCCUGGUGUAGCGGUGGAAUGCGCAGAUAUCAGGAGGAACACCAGUGGCGAAGGCGACUCUCUGGACUUAAACUGACGCUGAGGCACGAAAGCGUGGGGAGCAAACA